CUUCUCACACACCUCACUAACACUAACUACAGAUUUCUAGAUGUUAGUAGGCGUUGUGGGAAGGG
RNAcentral lists this microRNA precursor (65 nucleotides) under Caenorhabditis briggsae. RNAcentral's name for it is "Cbr-Mir-253_pre stem-loop". Lineage: Eukaryota; Metazoa; Nematoda; Chromadorea; Rhabditida; Rhabditidae. The record is from RNAcentral.